AUGGGCCCCAAGAGGGAGCUCAAGUUUGCAUUGGAGUCUUUCUGGGAUGGGAAGAGCAGCGCUGAGGAUUUGGAGAAGGUUGCCACCUACCUCAGGGCCAGCGUCUGGAAGAAGAUGUCAGAGGCUGGGAUUAAGUACAUUCCCAGCAACACCUUCUCAUACUAUGACCAGGUGCUUGACACAACAGCCAUGCUUGGUGCUGUCCCGGACCGCUACUCUUGGACUGGCGGCGAGAUUGGUCACAGCACCUACUUCUCAAUGGCCAGGGGCAAUGCCACCGUCCCUGCUAUGGCGACGGCGAAGUGGUUUGACACCAACUAUCACUUUAUUGUACCUGAAUUGAGCCCAGAAAUAAAGUUCUCAUAUGCUUCACACAAGGCUGUCUCUGAAUACAAGGAGGCAAAGGCGCUUGGUGUUGACACUGUUCCAGUGCUUGUUGGACCAUUCUCAUACUUGCUGCUCUCUAAGGCAGCGGAGGGUGUGGAGGAAUCAUUCUCUCUCCUAUCACUUCUUGAUAGCAUUCUUCCAAUCUACAAGGAGGUUGUCGCUGAGCUGAAGGCAGCUGGUGCUUCAUGGAUUCAGUUUGAUGAGCCCACCCUUGUUUAUGACCUUGAUGCUUACGAUUUGGCCGCGUUCUCCUCAGCAUAUGCUAGCCUUGAGUCAGCACUCUCUGGAUUGAUGUACUUAUUGAGACAUACUUCGCCGAUGUUCCUGCUGAAUCUUACAAGUACGACUCUCACAUCAUUGAGUGGUGUGACUGCCUAUGGUUUUGAUCUUGUUGAUGGAACCAAGACACUUGAUCUUAUCAAGAGCGUGGGUAUCCCAUCUGGAAAGUACUUGUUUGCUGGUGUUGUAGAUGGACGGAACAUUUGUGCUAAUGAUCUUGCUGCAUCUCUCAGCACUCUUCAGUUUCUUGAGGCUGUUGUUGGCAAGGACAAGCUUGUGGUGUCCACCUCCUGCUUGCUGAUGUACGCCCCUGUUGAUCUCGAGAUCGUGACUAACCUUGACAGUGAGAUUAAAUCGUGGCUAGCAUUUGCUGCCCAAAAGGUGGUUGAGGUGAAUGCACUUGCCAAGGCUUUGGCUGGUCUAAAGGAUGAAGCCUACUUUGCGGCCAAUGCUGCUGCUCAGGCUUCCUUUGGGCCAAUGUUGAGGUCAUCACCCAGAGUGAAAAAUGAGGAGGUUCAGAAGGCUGCUUCUGCUUUGAAGGCCGACCACAGCCGUGCUACCCCUCGAUCUAUUAGACCGUUACAUAUAGAGUUCAAAAAAACUCGCCGCUCGUACCAAAAAUUGAUGACGAUUGCAGCAGAAAUGACCUCGCCAAUUUCUCAGUUCUCACAAGCAAUGAAGGAAAAGAUGGUGGUAGCAAAAAAAACUUUGCCAAUUGUAGCAAAAAUUGAUGAAGAUAGCAGCAAAACAGACCCACAAUUUCUCAUGCACGAUGAAGAACAAGAUGGAAGAGAUAAGUUGAGGAUAGAGCGGUGCGUGCUUGAGGUAGACGGCUCCUCGUGCGUGCGAUGGAUCGAACGCCUCGCACGUGACCGGCUUAAAGUUCCGCCGGUCUGCCGGCCACAAGCGUUUUCCUUAUUAUUUUGGUGGUAUCCAGCCACCGAGACAGAGGAUUCACUUAUCACGCACUUUGCUCUGCCAAGAGCGAGAAGGCCAACCAACUCGCUGGCCGUGGUGCUUGCCCUUGCCGAGGCCACCCUCGCUCCAGCGCUGCCGUCCGCGCCGCUCCGCUGGAGACGCCAUCCAGGGCGCUCAGCACACCUCUGGACGUGGCCUUUACGCCGACGCUCGCGCUCCCCCGCGGCGGCUCAAAGCUGCCUGCGGCGGAGGCGUCGGUGCGUGGCGCGGCUUCACUUGCCCGCCCAUAGCGCCAGGCUUCAUGCGCGCGUGACGCGGCCCUGGCCAGUAUGCCAAAGCGGCGGCGAUGGUAAUGGUGUUUUCUCCCCGUUGGAACCGCACGUGAGAAACACAGAGAUAACCUUAUCUCUUUGCUAG
This 2001-nucleotide ribosomal RNA is filed under the name Triticum aestivum (bread wheat). RNAcentral describes it as "partial small subunit ribosomal RNA". The record is from RNAcentral. Lineage: Eukaryota; Viridiplantae; Streptophyta; Magnoliopsida; Poales; Poaceae.